UUCCGGGCCAGCUCGGCUCCCCGCGGGGACCAGAGAUUCCUCGCAUUUCAGCUUGCCCCAGUUUUCUCAUUUCCCCCUUUGAUAAGGCUCUGAGUCCACAACCCUGAGAUUUUCACACCCUAGAUUUCAGUGUUGCUAAGUUUCUUCAGAGGUCUUUGGAACCUUCUCUAAUGAAGUAUGCAUGCAUAUUCUUUGAUGAAAAGUGAACCGUGAAAGAGAUGUUCUCAACACAACUAUCCAGAAUGCCAAAGGAGACCAUCCAGGACCACAACAAGACAGGGCUAGAACAACUUCAAGAACCCACUAAAUCACCGCAAUUGGGACAAUUAAUUUAAAGAUACAAAGGGCACCUGGUUAAGUUCACACACUACAGUGUGCAAAGACCUGGGUUCAAGCCCCAAGUCUCCACCUGUGUGGUGAUGCAGUAUACCAGCGACCAUGGAUGGAAGUCCCAGCACAGUGCUGACGUCAGCCUUGGCGACAGAAUAUGCAGUGAUCUGUGCUGGUGCAUGGUGGUGCUGUGGGUGGAUCCAGUCUGUGCUGGUGUACAAAGCGUUGUAGGUGGGCUGAAUAGACUUAAAAGUACAGCCAGCCAGAAGUCAUGCUCUCUUUGGCUGCUGCUACUUCUCCUGGUCAGAGGCAUCUCGACAGAGGUGUGCCAGGUAUCUGCCAUGGCUACUUUUCCUGGGAACUGAACACGUGCGACUCUGUUAGUCAGUAAACUUUUAGACCCCUCUACAGCCAUGAGCAACCUUUACCAGAGCUGAUAAUUGUUUAUCUUAUGGGACUAAACUUUUGAUAACUGUACUCAGACUUUAUGGACCUAGCAUACUCUUAACCCCUGAUGAUAAUUGCUUAUUUUGCCUUUUAUCUGUUUCACACUAAUAAACCUUGUACUGUUUAAACCAGA
Molecule: long non-coding RNA, 910 nt
Organism: Erinaceus europaeus (western European hedgehog)
Lineage: Eukaryota; Metazoa; Chordata; Mammalia; Eulipotyphla; Erinaceidae
Exons: 4
Source: RefSeq, a predicted model, not a curated record